Limulus polyphemus (Atlantic horseshoe crab) is the source of this 638-nucleotide long non-coding RNA. RefSeq lists it as uncharacterized. Lineage: Eukaryota; Metazoa; Arthropoda; Merostomata; Xiphosura; Limulidae. The record is from RefSeq and is a predicted model, not a curated record. The transcript has 3 exons.
UCGAAAAGAAGAAAAAAGAAAACUGAAUAGUCAGAAUUUUUUUUUCACCCGAAAGACUAUUCUGGCCGACUGACCUACAGUCAGAGGUCAUCUACCCACUAGAACGACCUCUGGGGAAUAGAAGCUGGAUAACCUUGAUGCUCAAAGUGCGAAGGAAUGUGAGUGAAUGGUCCGUUGACCUUGGCCUUGACUGUUACUGUCAAAACAUCCUCGCUGGAUAGUUUCAAGGUUCUCGCCCAUCUCUCGCAAAACUACAUUGGAUUAUCUGUUGUGUUCACCGCGGGAAAUCGAACCUCAGAUUUUAGCGUUCUAAGACCUUAGACUUACUGCUACCCCACCGGGGGACUACUAUUUCCUAACAUCAAUCAAACAACAUACUAUGCAGUACAUGAAAAAAAGCAAAUGUGAAGGUCAAGGCUUGAUGGGAUGCUUUCGUUAAGUUCUACACUUCUGAAAUGAACUUUAAGUGAGACUUGAAUACCGUAUUAUUUCUUGUUCCAAAAAUACUCCAUUCCCUCUUCCACAUAUGCACAGUAACCUAAAAUAUCUUUAUAAAUACAUUCAGUGUGUUUUUUGUGAAGCUGCAUAUCUUGUUAUAAAAAUUUAGUCCUACUUUUGUUAAUCAGUGCGAAGAAAUA